This 376-nucleotide transfer-messenger RNA is filed under the name Clostridiales bacterium. It matches the Rfam family "transfer-messenger RNA". From Rfam's summary of the family: Bacterial tmRNA, also known as 10Sa RNA or SsrA, is named for its dual tRNA and mRNA-like properties. Its role is to liberate the mRNA from a stalled ribosome. Lineage: Bacteria; Bacillati; Bacillota; Clostridia; Eubacteriales. The record is from RNAcentral.
GGGGACGUACCGGUUUCGACGGGGUAGUUGAUAUCGGGAAAGCGGGUGGAGGAUUCUCGUUGGCCUCCUAAAUAAACGAGAAAUGCAAGUAAUUGCAAACAACACACAGCUCGUAGCAGCGUAAUAUUGCUACCGUCUGAUCAUUAUAUCUGCGUAAUGUAUCAAGACGCGCUUUGCAGACCUUACCUGUUAGAGGUUAAAUAGGACAACCUCAGUGCAUAAGCUUUGCUGCGCUGUUGCAACAUAUGAAGCUACCGGACGCAUCUCCUGUCAGCGGGAUCAAUGCAGAGGGGAAUACUCUAAUCACUGACUGCACCCGGAGAUGUCCCGGAGGAUUCUGUUCCGGACAGGAGUUCGAUUCUCCUCGUCUCCACCA